Molecule: ribosomal RNA, 807 nt
Filed under: Phylloporus alboinfuscatus
Lineage: Eukaryota; Fungi; Basidiomycota; Agaricomycetes; Boletales; Boletaceae
Description: partial large subunit ribosomal RNA
Rfam family: Eukaryotic large subunit ribosomal RNA
Source: RNAcentral
GAAUCUGGCGGUCCUUGUGGCCGUCCGAGUUGUAAUCUAGAGAAGCGUCUUCCGCGUUGGACCGUGUACAAGUCUCCUGGAAGGGAGCGUCAUAGAGGGUGAGAAUCCCGUCUUUGACACGGACUGCCAGUGCUAUGUGAUGCGCUCUCGACGAGUCGAGUUGUUUGUGAAUGCAGCUCAAAAUGGGUGGUAAAUUCCAUCUAAAGCUAAAUACAGGCGAGAGACCGAUAGCGAACAAGUACCGUGAGGGAAAGACGAAAAGAACUUUGGAAAGAGAGUUAAACAGUACGUGAAAUUGCUGAAAGGGAAACGCUUGAUGUCAGUCGCGUUCGCCAGGGAUCAACCUAGCUUGAUUGCUUGGUGCAUUUCUUGGUCGAACGGGUCAGCAUCAGUUUCGAUCGAGGUAUAAUGGCGGAGGGAAUGUGGCACCUCUAGGGGUGUGUUAUAGACUUUCGUCGUAUGCUUGGGUGGGGACUGAGGAACUCGACACAGACUUUCAAGUCUUGUGUCUAGGAUGCUGGCAUAAUGGCCUUAAGCGACCCGUCUUGAAACACGGACCAAGGAGUCUAACAUGCCUGCGAGUGUUUGAGUGAUGAAACUCAUGCGCGCAACGAAAGUGAAAGUCGAGAUCUCUGUCAUGGAGAGCAUCGACGCCCGGACUGGAGUCUAUUGACGAAAGAUCUGCGGUAGAGCAUGCAUGUUGGGACCCGAAAGAUGGUGAACUAUGCCUGAAUAGGGUGAAGCCAGAGGAAACUCUGGUGGAGGCUCGUAGCGAUUCUGACGUGCAAAUCGAUCGUCGAAUUUGGG